GAUAGUACCUUACUACUUGGAUACCCGUGGUAAUUCUAGAGCUAAUACAUGCUAAAAACCCCAACUUCGGGAGGGGUGUAUUUAUUAGAUAAAAAACCAACGCCCUUCGGGGCUCCUUGGUGAUUCAUAAUAACUUCUCAGAUCGCACGGCCUUGCGCCGGCGACGGUUCAUUCAAAUUUCUGCCCUAUCAACUUUCGAUGGUAAGGUAUUGGCUUACCAUGGUUUCAACGGGUAACGGGGAAUUAGGGUUCGAUUCCGGAGAGCGAGCCUGAGAAACGGCUAGCACAUCCAAGGAAGGCAGCAGGCGCGCAAAUUACCCAAUCCCGACACGGGGAGGUAGUGACAAUAAAUACUGAUACAGGGCUCUUUUGGGUCUUGUAAUUGGAAUGAGUACAAUUUAAACCUCUUAACGAGGAACAAUUGGAGGGCAAGUCUGGUGCCAGCAGCCGCGGUAAUUCCAGCUCCAAUAGCGUAUAUUAAAGUUGUUGCAGUUAAAAAGCUCGUAGUUGACCAUUUGGCCUGGCUGGCAGGUCCGCCUCACCGCGUGCACUUGUCCGGCCGGGCCUUUCUUUCUGGAGAACCGCAUGCCCUUCACUGGGCGUGUUGGGGACCAGGACUUUUACUUUGAAAAAAUUAGAGUGUUCAAAGCAGGCCUUUGCUCGAAUACGUUAGCAUGGAAUAAUAAAAUAGGACGCGCGGUCCUAUUUUGUUGGUUUCUAGGACCGCCGUAAUGAUUAAUAGGGACAGUCGGGGGCAUCAGUAUUCAAUUGUCAGAGGUGAAAUUCUUGGAUUUAUUGAAGACUAACUACUGCGAAAGCAUUUGUCAAGGAUGUUUUCAUUAAUCAGUGAACGAAAGUUAGGGGAUCGAAGACGAUCAGAUACCGUCGUAGUCUUAACCAUAAACUAUGCCGACUAGGGAUCGGGCGGUGUUAUUUAUUUGACCCGCUC
RNAcentral lists this ribosomal RNA (949 nucleotides) under Paraconiothyrium flavescens. RNAcentral's name for it is "SSU rRNA". It matches the Rfam family "Eukaryotic small subunit ribosomal RNA", at positions 123 to 1081 of the family's 1831-position model. The record is from RNAcentral. Lineage: Eukaryota; Fungi; Ascomycota; Dothideomycetes; Pleosporales; Didymosphaeriaceae.